RNAcentral lists this unclassified non-coding RNA (89 nucleotides) under Pseudomonas prosekii. The record is from RNAcentral. Lineage: Bacteria; Pseudomonadati; Pseudomonadota; Gammaproteobacteria; Pseudomonadales; Pseudomonadaceae.
UGUGGGAGCGAGCUUGCUCGCGAUAGCGUCAGCACAUUCAACAUCAAUGUGGCUGAUAAACCGCCAUCGCGAGCAAGCUCGCUCCCACA